Long non-coding RNA from Passer domesticus (house sparrow), 5039 nucleotides. RefSeq lists it as uncharacterized. The record is from RefSeq and is a predicted model, not a curated record. NCBI's taxonomy places the organism in Eukaryota, Metazoa, Chordata, Aves, Passeriformes, Passeridae. The transcript is spliced from 5 exons.
UUCCUUGAGAUGAGCUGAAGGGAAGGGAAAGGUGGGGUGUGUUUGUGUAAACAAAGGCUGUGUGGUUGUUCACUUGCCAUGGGUAGAAAUCCCAGCUGUGCCAGCAAGUGCAGGAUGUGGGACCACCCAGCCCUAGCACUGCCCUCACUGUGGCUGAGCUGCCUUUAAUCCUUUGCCAUACAGCUGUAAAAUGAUUAGUCCCUUGUUUAUUUAUGCACAGGCAUGAAACUAGUUUCAGGUGGGUUCUGGAUAGGAUCUGAAGGGCAGCACUUGUUAAAGUAAUGGGAAAGGGCUGUGGGAGAUCAAUCCAAGUACAGCAGAGGCCUCUCUGAUGGAAGAUUUGAAAACCUUUCCUUGGCUUUUCACAGUCAUUUCAGCUGCUGCUUGAGCAGGGGUGACUUGACUGAAUUGUUGUUGCUUGGAGCUGUCAAAGUGUGUCUGGUCAUGCCUGAACUUACAGCUUCACAGAUUCCUGCCAGGAGGGAUUCCAGUUCUGAGACAUUGAGCUCCUGAGGGCUGACCUUGGAGCACUCCUCAGUAUGCAGAGAAUAAAACUCCUUUACUGGCUACUGAGCAGUACAAUUAAUACAGAGUGAAGUUUGUGUCCUUUGAAAUCCUUUACAUCCUGACUUGACAGUCAAGUUCUGGAAUAACUACUAAAAGUAGGAUUCUACCAACAUGGGUGUUUCUUGUGCUUGAAGAGACUUUCUCCCAUGAUCCAUUAGAUGAAAGUGCACUGUGCACCUUGGGGUUCCCUCUCUUUCACUGCCUGAAGCUGCUCAACACUGCUGCCUCUCUGGGGUCUAACCCCAAAUUCCUGCUGUUGCUUGUAAAGCCCAACUGAGCUGGUUUUGGCUGGGGAAGUUGAGUUUUUGCAGACAGCUAGUGUGGGGCUGUUUUGGAUUUGUGCUGCAGAUUGUGUCAAUAACACUGGGAUAUUUUCCUAAUUGCUGAGCAGUGCUUGCGCAGAGUCAAUGCCUUUUCUGCUCCUCACCCACCAGUGAGGAGACUGGAGGGGAACAAGGAGUUGGGAGGUGACACAGCCAGGACAGCUGACCCCAGCUGGCCACAGAGGUAUCCCAGAUGAUGUGGCCUCAUGCUUGGCAUCUAAAGCUGGGAGCAGAAGAAGGAAACAGGAGGUGUUUGGAGUGAUGAUGACUUCCCGAGUUACUGUUGUGUGAGAUGGGCCCUGCCCUCCUGGAGAUGGCUGAACACCUGCCUGCCCGUGGGAAGCAUUCAAAUAUUCAGCUGAUGUUAACAUACUGAAAAAUUACUGUCUAUAUAUGAUAGGAUAAUGCAAGACAAAGCAGGAUCUCCUCGGGUAUCUCUGCCAAAGCUCCCCCUCACAUCCUCAGAGAACUGGUGAAGCCACCCACACAUCGCUGCUCUGGACAGCACGGGCCAGCAGCUCCUGCACUGGAUUUACAGUGCAACAGAUGGCUUGUGAGUUUGGCUCCAGCCCUCAGCAUUGUCUUUUUAAUCACCCCUGCUGUCUUCUGAACACUAACCAGGAUGAUUCCAAGCUCUUUCUGACAGACAAGCAGCUAUUUUAUAGGCUGUUGCACUUGUACGCGCACACACACUGGAAAUGCUUUGCACUAAGAGCAACACCUCAUUUUACAAUCAACCUUGGGUUCCAGAAUUAACUGAAUAUCCCCCACAUUUUCCACUUUCCUGUGACUCUCUUCUCCUUCUCCAUAUCCAGCCCUACAAAUCUUGAGAUGACAGUGCUAGUAACUUCUCUCCACUGUGAAAACUGGUGAAAAGAUAAGAAACAGAACAGAGAAUAAAUGGUCAUUUAUUAACACUCAUAGAUUCUUCUUCUUACAGUGACUAAGAGAGCAUGAGCCGAGGCUUUUUGAGAAAUAUCUCAUAAAUAUCUCAUAAAAUUAAGUAUAUCAUCAAGACCUCCUUUGUCUGCAUGAUCAUUUACUCUUUAUAACAACAGAUUUAGAAGUUAUAACACCUCUCUAUCCCAGCCAUGUUGAUGUAAAUCUGUAUUUUAUUCCUCCACAAUAUGUUUGCUUGCAAACCCUUUCUAGGGUAGAGAUGCUCCAAGGUGGAAACCAUUAAUUAGAUUUUAAGGAAGGGAGCUUGAAAUCAAUCCUGUACUGUGAGAAGAGAGCUGAGUUGCUGGCUUUGCCUUGAGGAAAGACCUGACAGUAUCAGCCUUUUCCAAGAUAAAAUGCAAAGUUCAUGUGUAUCACAUAUGUGUCAAGCCACUGUAAGUUUUGCAUUACUAUCAGCCAAAUAAAAAGACAUAUUUCUGAUGACUGCAAAUGACACCUUUGAUUAGUGCAGCCAGUGGUGUAACUCAGUGUGAAACAAUGAACUCCACCACUUUGUACUUGCUACUUCCCAGUGACUCCAAAGUCUGUUUGAAGUAACGUCUAUUUGAAGUAAGGAAUAAAAAAUGGAAAGAUGAUGCUGGUCUAGAGCAGCAACACUGUCUUCAUACCUAACCUGAAACGUGUUGGCAGAGCAGCAGUUCCAAGGAGCACUAACAUUUCCUCUCUUGAGAACAGAAUGCUUGGAUGAAGCCUCAGUCAAGAGACUCAAAGCUGAAAUUACUGCAUUAUCUUGUCCACAUGAAUGAAAAUUUAGCCAAGCUUGUACACAAGCCAGCCAGUGGCAGAAAGCCCAGCAGGUGUUUAUUCCCCAUCCUCCACUGCUACUAUCCCCACAACAUGGAGAGCUUUCACAAUAUUUUGCUUUCUCUCUAUUCUCCACCCACUGUUGUAUUUAAAUGAUAAUUCCUUGCUAUUUAACCUCUUUAGGAUACUGAGCUCCAAGCUAGGACUCGAGACCUGCACACUGUUAGUGUGCUGAAGACCAAGAAACCAAGCCCUGGUACUGAAGAGAGUUGCUGUUCUCUUUACAUCCUCACUGCUUUAAGGGCAAAUAUUGAAAGGACAGCUGUCGUGUAGCUGUCAACAUGAUGAAGAGGAUGUGUCAGGGGAUACAGGACUAUAUUCUAGUUCUACUAACCUCUUCUUACAGCAAUUAUUUCAGCAUUAUUAAAGACAUUUGGUGCAGUAGCACCCAGUUUCUUGUGCACAAGAAAUCAUGUUUAUCUCCUGGAAGAAUAGAAUACAGCCUUCCCUAACAGCAGUUGGACCACCCCCAGCUUGAACCUAUCAUACCACGCAGGCUUUAGGUGUCUCAAGGGAACUGAAGCACCAAAGGUUUUGGACAGAGCAUCUACCACAGCAGCCUUAGAACAGCAUGAUAUGCUUUGUAUUUCUAGUGCAUUUUUAUGUUUCAAGUAACCCUAAGACACCUCCUGAAAUGUUACUGAUGUGUUUAUAUCAUAAGUGACAAGAAUGGUAAACCAAAAAUUCAGGCUAAGUGCUGCUUCUGAUUUUGAGCAUGAUGAACAGACCAAAACUAAUUAACAGGCAACCUGUAGCAGCCAGCCGGUAACUGCAAAGUCAAGGCACGGCAUCCUGUCUCCCUUAAAGGAAGGAAGCAAAUUUGGGAUGUCCUUAGAUGACUUAUAUUCUCCUUGCUCCACCAGAACCAGCUACGUGUCAUGUGAUUUUACCUCCCUUUCUUUACUUCUGAUAUCCCAAACUCAAAUCAGACAAACUUACCUCAAGUGACCCCGUGUGCUGGAAGCUGUUAUUUCACAAGAGCUAUUACUAAUCGGCUGAUGCGAUCCAGAAGAAUGCCUUCUGGUGUUCUGCUUUCUGGUAUUAAUCUGUGUCAACAUCAAGACAUUCAAGCCAAGCAAUUUAGGACUGAAAUUCAAAAUCAGGCAGUGGAGGAUAACCUCCUUGAUUAAACUAAAGUCUGGAAACAAAAGUCAUAAAUAUAUUACAACAUGGAACUGCAUGACCUACUUCUCCCUUCCUCAGUAAUAACAACUUCAGAGAUUUUACUAGUUAAAAAAUAAAUCCAAUUCAUUUCUCGUAGCCUAAAGUUAAGUAUUUUAACAUUGCAGCAAAAACCUUUUAAGUUGGGCAUUCACUUUCUCUGAGGGAAUGCAAAUCUGGAGGCUUUUUUUUCAAUUAGAAGAAGGAAAGCGACCUUUAAUUUCAGCAUUUCAAAUUAUUGCCAUUUAAUUAAUCAAAUUUACAUAAGUUAGCAGUGUAGCAUAGCUUUGAAAUUGUACUCAGGCACCAAAGUGAAGUUUGACUAUUCUGCCUCUCUGUCUCCUUUUUAAACAUCUAUAUCUAAUGUGUUUAUAUGUGACAUUUUCAAGCUCCAAAAGGUUAAAAAACUGCAGGAAAUGGAGCUUCAGAAAAUUAAACUAAAAAUUAUUAUGUUAAUAAAAGCUAGAACUAACCCAAAUAUUUUUAAUUUUCCUGGGACAAAGAUUGCUGCUCCCUUCCAUGCACCAAUAGAAAUCCUUUCUGGCUCUGUACCAUUGCACAAGAACUUGAGGGGAGCACUGGCUUUACCCAUGGCAGCUUAGCAGGUGACCAAUAAGCCAGGGCUUCUCUCCUUCCAUGCAGAUAUCUUUCUACACCAGCAAGUUCCUUGAUAGAGACAGUGGAGGCAACUAAUAAAGUCUUUUAUUCCAGUAUAAAGUAUAAUGAGCUGUCUCACCCAUUUAACAUUCAGUCCCUAGAUAAAUCUUCAAACCCACUGGCAUUUUGGAUGUCAGCAAGUCCAUGUGGAGCAGUGAAAAAUAGAUUAUUAUCAAGAAAGUACCAGAGGAAGAGUGAAUAAAGCAGCCAAACCAGAUAGAUAAUUUUAUUACCUGAAAAUCUGAAUUGAUUAUAAUAUUCAAUUGCUUUGUUGCAACUGUUUAAGUUCCAUAACAAAAACUUAUAUAAAUUGCAAGUAUCGAAUGAAGAUAUGAAAUGUCGUUUGAGUCUGCAACACAGAUUCAAAUAUUAGAAAAGCAUUUGCAGACUGUUUGUAUGUGUGCAUGUUUCAUCAGGCUCUUCCAUAUUUUCCACACUAAUGUUACCCUAAGAACUGCUCUCAACAUUACUAUAGGCAGUUUAAAAUCAAGAAAACAUAGUAAUGAUGUGAGGUUACUUUAAAAAAAAUGUUCAAAGUGACUUUCCUUACUCUGGAGUAGAAGCAAG